This 22-nucleotide microRNA is filed under the name Bos taurus (domestic cattle). RNAcentral's name for it is "bta-miR-2398". The record is from miRBase by way of RNAcentral. Lineage: Eukaryota; Metazoa; Chordata; Mammalia; Artiodactyla; Bovidae.
AUCUAGGGACGCGUCGGCAACU